This 71-nucleotide transfer RNA is filed under the name Marmota monax (woodchuck). RNAcentral describes it as "tRNA.Ala". It matches the Rfam family "tRNA". Rfam says of the family: Transfer RNA (tRNA) molecules are approximately 80 nucleotides in length. Their secondary structure includes four short double-helical elements and three loops (D, anti-codon, and T loops). The record is from RNAcentral. Lineage: Eukaryota; Metazoa; Chordata; Mammalia; Rodentia; Sciuridae.
GGGGUUGUGGCUCAGCGGUAGAGCAUGCGCCUAGCUUGUGCAAGUUCCUGGGUUCAAACCUCAGCACCACA